UUACAAAACAAACCAUUCUGUCAAAAAACUGCAUAGCUUGCCCUUCACCUUUUGAGAUUCAGGAUUAGUCUGCGUGUGACAUAAACACAUUAUUGUGUACAUUCAGUGUGUGGGCUGCUCACAUUCCCAACAGCUCUGCUUACGACAAAGGAGUUUGAACUGAGACGGUGAGGGAGACCCCAGGCCACGCCCCCUGCACACUGCCGUGGCCCACCAGCCGCAGGCCGGGACCGCGGGAGGACAUGGGGGUGGGGGGUCCCGAUGGGACAGCAGCUGCCCAUGGCCCACCAGACGCAGGCCGGGAUGCCGGAGGAUGUGGGGGCGUCCCAACGGGUCAGCGGCUGCCUGUGGCCCACCAGCCUCAGGCCGGGACCGCCAGAGGACAUGGGGGUGGGGGGUCCCGACGGGACAGCAGCUGCCCGUGGCCCACCAGCCUCAGGCCGGGACCGCCGGCGGAUGUGGUGGUGGGGGUCCCGACGGGACAGCGGCUGCCCGUGGCCCACCAGACUCAGGCCGGGACCGCUGGAGGACGUGGGGGCAUCCUGAUGGGAUAGCGGCUGCCCGUGGCCCACCAGACUCAGGCCGGGACCGCCGGCGGAUGUGGGGGUUCCCAACGGGUCAGCGGCUGCCCGUGGCCCACCAGCCUCAGGCUGGGACUGCCGGAGGACGUGGGGGCAUCCCGAUGGGACAGCAGCUGCCCGUGGCACUGCUGGGCCCGCAGACGGAGGCACGGUGCCCCCCCAAGGGAAUUUCCCCAGGAAGGUUACUCAGUUACAAACCUCUUCUGUCCUCAAAUGCUGAGCAUGAUGAAGAACUCUGCCCUUUGAAAGACUGUCUAAUGUUUAAGCCUCAGGAUAAUUUUUAUUUCAAGUAUCUCAUUUCUCAGCUAUGAGUUCAAUCUGCCUUUUAACUUAUUCAAAGGCUUUGAUCUCGUAGUGAUAUGGAACUUGAGUUUUUCUCUAGCUAUUAUGAGGGGAUGGAGUAGCGCCUCUAAGAUUUUCAGUGUGCCUUUUCCCCCAUUUGGUCUUCAUCUUUUUGUGUCUUUAUAAUUCAAACCUCAUAUCUGUGAGAGCUGCGUGAAGAGGAGAGGUCAGUGUCUUCUCCUGGGGCAUAAAACACACGCGGGAGAGCUCUCAGUGACUGUGCAGACACACGGCCACAGGAACACACUAGCUAGUUCUACCGAGUGGCACUAACUCGCCAAAGAUGAACAAAGGCAUGAUGCGUCGAGGAUUAGCUGUUAGAAGAUAAGGGACCCUCGGUCACUCUGUUGGCGGAGGGCCUGUGGGAAUAAGGAUUUGUUCAAGUGUAGCCCUUGCUUACAUUUCUAGGUGUUUUAGGAAGUUAAGCUUAAAUUCUGAAAUCUUAAUAUUUGGAAGCUCUUCAUUAACAUUUAACUCAACUGCUGAGAAGUAGUUGGAAAGCCUAAGAAUAUUCUUGCAAAACAUGAUUAAUAAAAAACAAGCCAAUUGCUUCUGAGUGCUGGAGGAGGAGGAGGAUGGCAGCCAGGCGCACAAAUCUUGCCCUGAAAAUGGAAAGUCUGUUUUCUUAUGUACAAAUAGUACUGCCACCUGCUAGUCAGAUAAGCAGGGGGGGACCUGCCGCCGAGCAGGAGCCACAUCGGGCGUUUCACACAGGAACCAGCCCUGACGUGUUACCGACCAUCCACUUCCGUGAGCUGGUAGGGG
This is a non-coding RNA of Manis javanica (Malayan pangolin), 1688 nucleotides long. Lineage: Eukaryota; Metazoa; Chordata; Mammalia; Pholidota; Manidae. The record is from RefSeq and is a predicted model, not a curated record.